UACAGAGGGUGCGAGCGUUGUUCGGAAUUAUUGGGCGUAAAGCGUGUGUAGGCGGGCGGGUAAGUAACUUGUGAAAUCCCACGGCUCAACCGUGGAACUGCUGGGUAUACUGCCUGUCUUGAGCCAGCCAGGGGCAGUCGGAACAGACGGUGGAGCGGUGAAAUGCGUAGAUAUCGUCUGGAACGCCAAAGGUGAAAACAGACUGCUGGGGCUGUGCUGACGCUGAGACACGAAAGCCAGGGGAGCGAACGGG
This 253-nucleotide ribosomal RNA is filed under the name uncultured bacterium. Its description in RNAcentral is "partial 16S ribosomal RNA". It matches the Rfam family "Bacterial small subunit ribosomal RNA", at positions 524 to 776 of the family's 1533-position model. The record is from RNAcentral.